RNAcentral lists this ribosomal RNA (534 nucleotides) under Morchella dunalii. RNAcentral's name for it is "partial 28S ribosomal RNA". It matches the Rfam family "Eukaryotic large subunit ribosomal RNA", at positions 86 to 629 of the family's 3401-position model. Lineage: Eukaryota; Fungi; Ascomycota; Pezizomycetes; Pezizales; Morchellaceae. The record is from RNAcentral.
ACGGCGAGUGAAGCGGCAAAAGCUCAAAUUUUAAAGCUGGCAUCUUCGGUGUCCGCGUUGUAAUUUUGUGAGGCAUCUCCGGGUAGGGCGCCGGCCUAAGUUCCUUGGAACAGGACGUCACAGAGGGUGAGAAUCCCGUGCUUGGCUGGCUGUCCCCGUCCAUGUGAGGUGUCUUCGACGAGUCGAGUUGUUUGGGAAUGCAGCUCAAAAUGGGUGGUAAAUUUCAUCUAAAGCUAAAUAUUGGUGGGAGACCGAUAGCGCACAAGUAGAGUGAUCGAAAGAUGAAAAGCACUUUGAAAAUAGAGUUAAAAAGUACGUGAAAUUGUUGAAAGGGAAGCGCUUGAGACCAGACUUCGGUAGGGGGUGAUCAGCCGUCCUUCUGGGCGGUGCACUUGCCCCCCUCCGGGCCAGCAUCGGUUGAGGCGGCGGGAUAAAGGUCCCGGGAAUGUGACUCCUCUCAAGGGAGUGUUUAUAGCCCGGGUGAAUGCCGCCAGCUUCGACCGAGGACCGCGCCCGCAAGGGUUAGGAUGCUUG